This 19197-nucleotide long non-coding RNA is filed under the name Sorghum bicolor (sorghum). Its description in RNAcentral is "long non-coding RNA (SBIC_LNC015288)". The record is from RNAcentral. Lineage: Eukaryota; Viridiplantae; Streptophyta; Magnoliopsida; Poales; Poaceae.
AAUUCUACCUAAAGAGCUUGGUAUCUCUCGGAGCUUGCUGCAGGCAUAUAGUUGCAAGGACUGAAGAACAUAACAGUCACCAAUGGACUGAGGCAAACUCUCAAGAUCAGUAACCCAACGCAACUCUAGAGUCCUUAGCUUCCGAAGCGUUCCAACAGACUCAGGUAAUGUCACGAAACCUUUGCAGUCAACAAAAUUGAGUGACUGCAAGUUCCAAAACCUCGAGAUAGCUUCCGGAACUGUUGUACAACUAACAUUAUGGAUUUCAAGAUACCCAAGAUACUCAAACUUUAAUAUGAAUAGUGACAACGGAGUAUCAGUUGCAUAGUCCAAAACAACACUGCGCAUACAGCAACUACUCUUCACUGUGGUAUCAAAAGAUGUCUUACUGUCAGAGAUAUAUAGAGCACGGACCUUGUCAAAUACGCCCUUGUCAACAUUCUCAGUGAAUGAAGUCAAAGAUAAAUAUCUAUACCUAUGAGUAAAUUCUUCUGUUGUAUGAAUUGGUACACAAGUCACCAGCUCAUCCUUUAGUAUCUGCCGAGUGAGAUCAUGGAUCAAAUCGUGCAUGGUGUAUAUAUCAGUAUUCCAGCUCCCAUAAACUUCCUGAAGAAAUCUGACUUUUACAAGAGAAUCUAAGUAGUCUCUUCCGACAUCUUCGGGUUGCUCUCCAUUCAUUGCAUUGAUGAAUCCAUGAGCUAUCCAUUGGGCAAUCAAACGAUCUUUCCAGAUUCCAUAGCCCUUCGGGAAUAUGGAGCAAAACGUAAAACACUGCUUCAGUUCAUCUGCCAAAUGAAUAUAGCUCAACUUCAAGGAUGCAAACACUCUGUCUUUUAUACUCUGAACCUUCCAUAAAUUAUUCUCUCUUAUGGCCCUCCACGUACUUAUUUGCUUCUUGUCACGAAGGACUGCUCCAAGAGUUUGAAUUGCUAACGGCACCCCACCACAUCCCUUGAUAAUCUCUUUUCCGACUUGUACCUCAUCGGAGCUCAAUUCUUGCUCUGCCAACCCAGAACCCUUCAGGAAUAAGUUCCAACUCUCAGACUCUGAUAAGAAUGCCAACUCAAAUGUAUAUCUUGAUUCCACAGCUUGUGCAACCUUUCGAUCACGAGUGGUUAAAACAAUCCUUGUUUCAGGUGCGCCACAUUUUAGCUGCACCAUGAACUGUUCCCAGUCAUGUCUGUCCUCAUGCCAAGCAUCAUCAAGGAUAAGAAGAAACUUCUUAUUGCUCAACUUCUCGGAGAUUUUUUGGACCAUGUGCUGUGGGGGAUGACGAUCUGAAUUAUCUCCAACAAUCGUUUCAAAUAGCUUGCCGAUGAGCUUCUGAACAUCAAACUCUUGAGACACAUGGACCCAGAAUAUUUCACCUCCAAAGUGCUCCUUUAUCUUGACGUCAUGACAAAUGUGUUUCGCCAAAGUAGUUUUGCCUGACCCCCCUAAUCCGAUGAUAGAAACUAUCAUGUUGUUCUCUCCAGCAUUACAUUCUACAAGCUUAGAUAUGAUUUCAUCCUUUUCUUGAUCCCUAAGGGGUAUUUUGGACUCUGGAACCUUGCUCAACCAGGUCAUCUCUCCAACUGUCUUGUACCUAGCACCAACAUGUUGAUCCCUUGUUGGAACUAAAGUAUUGAAAUCACUUCUUUGCUUGACGAUUGCAGCAAAUCUAACCUUGAUUGCCUUGAUCUUAUGAGCCAUCUUGUAUCGGAAUGCAAAUGACUUUGGUUUUGCACAGAAGCAACCGGCUAUACCACUCUUGUCAUCAUCUCUUUCCAUCUUCUGUUUCUCAGCUUCAAGCUGGACUUCUUGUAGUAUAUCGUCAAUGUCAUAAGCCACAUCUUUCAAUUUUAUCACCCAGUGAGACUGUGUCUCACUCUGUAUUGCUCUGUCAUACGCUGCCGACAGCCAGCCUGUAAUGUCUGCGUGUAUAUCCUGGAGCUGGCAGAGAUCUCUUUUUACACCGGCUAUGGCAGCAAACUCAGUGGCUAACAGUGAAACUAGCUUGUCACCUGCAGCCUUCAACACUCCAGAUGCUAAAGCAGCCUCCAUCCCACUCAUUAUGUCAAAGAAACUGUUGCCUAAACCCCUGCAGAUGAAAUUGAAAAACAAGCGGUUAGAUUGAGUUUCGCAAAUCCAAAACUAGUUAGGUGGCAGCAGUAAUGUUUCUUAGGAAAAAUAACUUUUUAGGAAAUGUGGCGGCAGAAAUGUUCCAAUAAUAAUUCUCAACUCUGGAAUAAAUUAACGGCCGACAAAAUAUCUGAGAGUUACAGGCCACGCCGCCGCCCGGUCCAGACGCGGCGGCCAUGUCCUCUCUCUAGCGCCAGGCCAGCUGCAGCACCCUGCUGCCAUGCAGCCUGCCCUAGGGGGCUGUUGUUCCUCCCAUCUAAUCCCCUCUGACUCCCCCAAUCUACCCUCUAAUUAAGUGAAGUCACCCCAGAUGGGACAUGUACAACAUGAGUGAUUUGCAGAUUAUAUGUUUCGAACGAAAUGGACAAAUAUUGUCCGUAUCGGCUAAAUAUCUUAUAUGGAUAACACAAAAAGUCAUUUGGAUGCUGGAAAAUAGAUCUACUAGACCGAUCGGCGUGAAAACAAAUGGAAAAUUAAUUUGCAUACCAGGUGAACAAGGACACACACAGCAGAAGCAGCAGAGCACCGACAGUAUGACACUUUGAUGCAACCAGAUAAGGGGCUUUUUGUUCUUCUUCUUGUGAAAGAGGUGAAGGGAAUCAGUAUGCUUGACGCUCACUGGGAUUGACACAAAAAAAAAAGUAUGAGUUGGUCAUCGAAGAAAUUCUAGGAUUAACAGAAAAAAAACGUGAGUUGGUGAUUGAAGAAAAUGACCAGGGGAGAAAGCGGGAGGAGAUGUGAGGAAUUAGAUUGUGCGUGUUGUGUUAGGCUUAAACCAAAGCAGAUUAAGUACCUAAACUCAACAACUGCGGCGAGGCUACAACCCAACGAGAGAGAGGCCUGCAGAUCUGAAAGGCAGGUAGGUGAUGAAGAAAAUGAGCAGGUGGUUGAACCCAACGAGAAGGAGAAACAGGAUUCAGGCAAAGGUCAUCCUCAUUACCUCGGUCGCGUCGGCGGCGGCGACGACGAGAGGCCUCCCGCCCCUAGUCGGGUUGUGCGCGGAGGUCGAUGGUCAGUGAACUCACUGCUCACUUCUCACGCGCAUGGAGACUCCACGGAGACGAACGAAGAGAGGAUUGCGACUGAGCACCGGACGAUGCCUGCUUUGUGAGUUGGGUUUGUGAGUUGGGUGGUGGACCCCGGCAGCCACUGUGAGAGCACGAUUGCUUUUCGCCUCCCAGAAAGCGCGUGGCAAGAGCAUCCACUACAGUGGAUCCAGAAAAUACAUCCUCAUUCCCUACAAAGUGUUAGGCCUUACCUAGUUUAGUUCCAUUUUUUUUAAAAUUGUAUUUGACAAAUAUUGUUAGGUUCAAAAGAUUUAUCUCGUAAAUUAUAUUUAAAUGGUGUAAUUAGUUAUUUUUUAUCUAUAUUUAGUGUUUCAUGUAUGUACCGCAAGAUUUGAUGUGAUAUAAAUCUAAAAAAUUUUGCAAAACUUUUUGUGAGUAGUUCACCUAAAAACCAAAAACUUUUCAAGAUUCCUCGUUAUAUUGAAUCUUGUGGAACAUAAAAUAUAGAUUAAAAAAGUAAUUAAUUGUACAGUUUAGGCCUUAUUUAGAUCCAAAAAGUUUUUGGAUUUUGACACCGUAGCACUUUUAUUUUUAUUUGAAAAACAUUAUCCAAUAAUGGAGUAACUAGAAUUAAAAGAUUCGUCUCGUGAUUUACAGGCAAAAUGUGCAAUUAGUUUUUGUUUUCAUCUAUAUUUAAUGCUUAAAGCAUGUGCCGCAAGAUUCGAUAUGACAGAGAAUCUUGAAAAGUUUUUGGUUGUUUGGGUGAACUAAAUAAAGCCUUAGCUGUAAUUUGUGAGACGAAUCUUUUGAGUCUAAUUAGUCCAUGGUUGGACAAUAAUUGUCAAAUAAAAAUAAAAGUAUUACAGUACCUACAAACUUUUCACCUUUCAACUAAACGGCCUUACAAAUAAUAAAAGGGGUUAAUUAAGGAAGAAAAAUAAGCUCUAACAUGUUCUCUUUCUAGUACUCUUUCUUGAACUUUUUUUUCAAUCUCCCAAAAUCUUCCUCUCCCUUAAACUUUCCAUCAGUGUGAUUGAUCCACCAAAAAAAUCCAUGCGAACUGCAAAAAGAUAUUUAUCUUCCUCUCUCACAAUAAUUAUCUCUUUUGGUGUGCCUUGAGGCCCCUUCUUACUUACUUCUGCACUUUUUUUGUCUCUUUUUUAAACUUCUUUAUUUCAAUAAAAUCCCUGUGGGGGCUGAGACCCCUUCAGUUUCCUAAAAAAAACCCAAAUAAAUCUUGCCUAUUUUUCAAACCUAGCUUCUAAUUACGUCAACUCAAUUUUAUACUUUCAAAGUUAUCUCAUAGAUAGACAACUAAAAGAAUUAACGAUAGCAAAAUACUUCAAAUCCUUACAUGUAUACUUUAUUUAUUGACAAUAGCUAGUUCAUCAGUUGUUCAUCAAUUGUUCAUCCAAUGUGCAUCUGGUUAGUCUCACUGAGUUGAUGUGGUGUUUGGUUGCUUUGCGUGAGAACAUAUGUUGCAAGAUACUCCUAUAAAUUAGGCAAUAAACAUAAUCACGAUAUUUUUUAUACAUGCAACUAUCUUUUAUUGCUCUUGAUUUAUUAUAUUAUUAUCCCUUAAUAUUUUUUUAAAAGAAAUACACUAAUAUCAAUUAAGACAUGCUAGUCGUGCACUGGUAAUGUCAUUAUCUAGAUAACUGCUGUCAACCGAUAGCCUGGAGAAGAACCCAAAAAAAAUCUACUCCCUCCAUCCCAAAUUAUAAAAAUAUUAAACAAGGCCUUAACAAAUUCUGGAUACAAACAAUGCUCAGUUCGAACUCAUCUGGCAGGAGGAUGGUGUGCUACCAGCUGAUGAGUAGUGGGAUCCUAACGUGGGUGGUGUCCUGCCAAGUGCCAACACAUAAGCCGUGCUCAUUCUGGACCACACGCGACGCGAUCCCUCGUUUUGUCCGCGAUCGUUCAAUUCGUUCGUGUCCCUGGCGCUGGCGGCCUGAUGAUGAUCCAACAGCAGUGCCAGUACAGCACACCAACGCCAACGUACGCCGAGGAAGAAGACCAAUCCAUCCAUGGAGUCGCACGCACGGGCCUCACGAGAGGAGAGGAAGAUGAGAGACCAUGACCUGUGGCCCCUAGUAGCAGUGGCAAACCAGGGGGCAGGGGCAGACUAGGCCGUGUGGGGAUUGCACGCCGCCGAUUUCGUGUCCUUGCAGCCACCGUCCGCCACCGUCCAAUCUCCGCUUCUUUAUCUUCUCCGAGGUGAGAGCAGGGAGCCCAGGCGAUCCUCCUUCUCAGUUCUCACACACUGCCACAUACACACACAGCUGACCUGCCGCUGCCGCUGCCACUGCCAGGAAGGUAGGCCACUGCCAGGAUGCCCCGCGGCGGCUUCUCGGGGUCACUCAGGUCGCCCAAGAUCGACGUCGUCAUCGACAUGGGGAACCCCUUCCUCAACCGCACCGUCGACGGCUUCCUCAAGAUCGGCGCCUGCAAGGUGGCCGCCGAGGAGACCUUCGACUGCCUCCACAGGGGUGAGUGCGCGCGUCUCUCUGCCUCUGCUGCUAUAACAUCUUUUACUAUAUUUACAUUGAGUUUGAUCGAGCUGUGUUGACCUUUAGGAGCUUUUCAUGUGGUUAAAUUAAGAUAUUCACUUGCACACAUCUACCACAGCAUUCAUCAUCAAUCAUUAAAAUUGCUAAAAAUAUUAUCACUCACUGUCCCAAGUAUUGUUAUUCUCUCUCUAAAAAGAUUCAAUGCAGAAGAGGCAUGGGUUAUGCAAAAAUACGCGAGGAAAUAAAAAGAGGCAAGUGCCCGGAUCCUCGAAAAAGAAAGAAAAAGAGUGAGACGAGAGGUAAAAAUGGACAAGUGUCCGAAAUAGAAUUAGGGGUACAAAGAUGCCCACUUGAGCGGAAAAAAUGGACAAGUGUCCGACAGUAGAAUUAGGGGUAUCUACUACCCACCUGAAAAAAAAGAGAAAGAAAAGAUAGCCCAUGUUCUCCCAAAGCAAAGAUCAAAGAAGAGGAGAGAUAGCAAUAUGAGGAGCAAUGAGAACUAAGUUUCAUUAUCACUUAUGCAUUUUCACCAUCACUAUCAUUUACUCCAUCACACAUGCACAUCUUGAUUUAAUUAUAUGCUGAGUUCCUUUGGAUCCAUGGCUCGAUUAGACAAUAUAUGUAUGAGCUGUUUUUCACUCCUAUGAGCUCCCCUUAAAUAUUCCAUUAAGCUAUAGGAAAGUGAUAUCAUGGUAAGGAUCCACAAAUACCACAUAUAGAGAGACUUGAGAGAAUCAUUGCUGGGAACUCUGAGUUUUAUUUUGAAAACUUAUGAAAAACUCUGGAACAAAGGUGAAGUAUAAACAGGAGGGAUAGUGCUUGACUUAACUAUUUUGUCUUUCGAUUACUUAAGAUUUAAGUGCAGGUACUAAACUUCAUAACACUUCACUUUAAUCUGGAAGAAUUUUGUAUAAAAGCAUGUGUGCCUGUCAGAAAAGAAAACAUCGAAGCAACUCCUGAUCCGUCUGAGUUUAGCUGUUUGCUCAGGGACGAGCAAAGGGUAAGCUUGGGGGAGUUUGUUGACGGUCCUUAAGUACUAAAAUUAAUAAUCAGAUAAACAUGAAAAAGGAUCAAUAUGAAACAAACAUCUAGAAUUAGGGUUUUAUCUGACAGAAUUCCACGAGCUUUGGUGUUUAUCUAUUUCUGCAGGGGUUUAUCAGAAAAUAUGGAGAGAAGGCCCACAUGUCAUGUUUACAACGAGAUAAUUACGUGUCGCGCAAUUUUCCUCAAUCUAGAAGGAUCCAGAAGCCACGGGAACGAACGGGACGCGAUUCGGGCUCGGGGGCUGGGCGGCCGCCCACCCUCCUUGGGCGCCCGCCCAGGUGGAGAGUCCAAUCAGGACUCUGCUUCGGGACAAUCCUCCACCGACCUAAAGGAUCAAUCUAAACCAUACAAUCUAUGUCGGUUUGAUCCAAUGGCUCACGUUCACUUGAGGGGACUAUAAAACCAGACCCCCUGGCCCCUGGAGGAGAGGAGGAGAAAUCAUUAUUCAGAGGUAGCCAUCAAAGUUAGGGUUUAGAGCUUCUCUCCCACAGAGAAUUAGAAUUAGCUACUCCCUAAUCUUUCAAGUUUAGAGGUUGAUUAGAUAGCAAUUAGAGAAGUAGAGCACUACGCUCUGGAUUCGGAUCUUCGGUAAUAAAGAUUGGUAUUAUUCAUAUCUUUCUCUAAUUCUAUUGUUCUAAUUGCAUUAUGUCUUUAAUUAUUAUGUUCUUAGUUUGCUCUAGUUCUAUAUUUGAUAUAGUUCUAAUUGAUAAUGAGUUUAUGUAUAAGUUUGCAAAGCGCUUAGCUCUUGUCGCGAGGGAGUUAGGUGAUAGAUCACAUGUAAGCGUGGUGCUUAGAUGUUAUUUAUCUGCAAAUGUAUCCUAUUGGCCGAGUCGUGUGGUAGUUCGCGAUAGUGACAGCUUCGUUGAUUCUUAUAUAGUCCACCCUCCGUUGAUAGGACAGGCAGAACCGGUAUUGUGGAGUAAGUCAUGCGAUGUUCUGAUUUACUUUAUCAAUGUUCCUUAUACAUGAAUGAAGAGUCUUUUAUGCUAUAUAUGAUCUUGUAGAUAACUAGAGUAGAUUAUGACUUAGUAGUUAGUAGAUAACUUAGAAUCCAUUCUCUAGCUAAUCCGACAUCACCUACAUAUAUGAGGAGUAGUCUAUUUUCUAAUCGCUGUGCUCUUUAUCCCAUGAACUUACACUUUAUUAUCAUUAUCUUUAUGGUUUACCCCCUGCUAAAGUAUGUGACUGUGUGACGAGUUUCUCAUUAGUAAUCAUGUUCUUGCAAGUUUAUCUCUAGUCUAUGCCUUGAUAGAUUUUGCCCAUUGAUUUAAUUCCAUUUUCCUUAGAUCCCUAAGCAAAAUUAUAAAUAACGAUACCUGGAAUACUUAUCCUGGUGAAAUGCUACAAUGAGGUGUUUUAUCUGUGCGCUUGCGGAUAGAAUAGAUUAUUUUCUAGAGAGCCUUUACAUUUAUAAAUACCUUUGUACACUCUGGCGCCAUGCUAGGGAUGACAACCUAGUAUCUAAGUGGUGUUAGCUAGUGUCAACACCGCCCCAGGCGCCCACGUCCACAUCGGCCCUGGUGUCGACCUCUUCCCAGCCGCUGGCGCAGGGCGUGCCGCGCGCCGUCUUCACACCCGAGCAAACGACAUCCACGAUCGUCGAAAUCAGCCACGGCUUGGCUGAGCUGCGGCUGACGAUGAACACCAUGCUGCAGCUUUACAACAAUUCGACGCCGCAGUUUGGCGCACCGCCGCAGCAGCCGCUCCUGACGCAGUCGUCCCCGUCGGUCGCGUUCCACCACACGGCGCCGGUCUCCUACCCCUACGGGAUGCCCGCCGACGCCGGGUUUUCGACGACAACAGCGUCUACUUCGUCGUCCGUUCCGAUCCACCAGCUCCGUUUUCUGUCAUCGUCGUCCCAGAUCCCGCCAUGGGCGCUGACCUACUCUGGGCCGGUCUACACAUCGGCACCCCAUCGGUUGCACAUGCCCGAUCAUGGCGCACCGUCGGUGUCAGGCACCCCCUACAGCAGCGUGGCGCCCUCGGCUCCACCCUACUAUGACCCCGGCUACGAGGGGUGCCCCUGCAUCUACGCAGGGCAACGGUUCGCCUAAGUUCCACAAGAUCGAGUUCACGACGUACGACGGCUCAGUCGAUCCGCUGAACUGGCUCACGCAAUUUGAGCAAUUUUUUUGGGCCCAACUCACGUCGGCAUCUCAGCGCACCUGGAUGGCGUCCUAUCACCUCACACGUGACGCCCAGACAUGGUACUAUGCCCUCGAGGAGGACGAGGGCCAGCCGCCAUGGGAUCGAUUCAAGGACUUAUGUCGUCUUCGCUUCGGACCGCCCAUUCGUGGUACUCGCUUGGCUGAGCUGGGCCAGCUGCCCUUCCACUCCAUGGUGGAGGAGUUCGCAGGCUAUUUUCAGGCGGUCCUGGCUCACACCCAGGACAUCUCCACCCGCCAGAAGGCGGAGCUCUUCGUCGGAGGACUGCCUAACCACAUCGGCGUGGACGUGGAGAUGCACGACCCUAGCGACCUCCAGACAGCCAUGUACUUGGCACGCGCCUUCGAACGCAAGGCCUUAGCUCUCGCAGCACCAGCACAGCGUGGCGCUCGCCCUCCCUAGCGGCCGAUUGCUUCGGCUCGCCCCACCGCUAGGGGAGGACCUCCAGCCGCGGCGCCCACGCCUACUGCGCUGACACCGACCGACACCGCUACACCCGCCCGCACCUUUCGUCGCUUGACACCGACGGAAAUGCUCAAGCGCCGUCGCCAGGGACUUUGUUACAACUGCGACGAGUAGUAUGUGCGCGGCCACGUCUGCCCACAUGUCUUCUACCUGGAGUCCUCUGACUACAUCGACGACGAUCUAUUCACUGCGACGGAGGACGCCGCAGACGCCACUGUCGAGAGCCCCAUGGCGCCACCAGACGGCGUUGCUGCUCGUGCUCUAGUUGUCUCCGUGUACGCUCUUGCAGGGAUCCACACCUACCACACCAUGCUGCUGGCCAUCACCAUCAAUGGGGAAUGCCUACUCGCGCUACUGGACACUGGCUCCACCCACACCUUCCUCUAGGGCACGGUCAUGUGAAAGCCCUAGUUUGGUUUUGGAUAAUUGAUGAAACCCUAGUACUAAUCUCUAUACUAAGUGUGUGUAGACUUAAUGAGGUUGGUAUAUGCCAAGUGAUGGAGCAAGUGAUGAUCAUGGUAAUGAAGGUGAUGACCACAAGAUGAUCAAGUGCUCAACUUGGAUAAGAAGAAAGAGAAAAACAAAACCCUAUGGAGUUCAAGGCAAAUGUAUUGCUUAGGGUUUUGGUUUUGGUGAUCAAGACACCAUAGAGGGUGUGAUCACAUUUAGAAUAGAUAGCCGUACUAUAAAGAGGGGAAUUCUUUGGCUAAACGGUUAUCAAGUGCCACUAGGUGUCAUUGUUCAUGUGCAUGCAUUUAGAACCUAGUGAGCUAACUUUAACUCCUUCAAAGAAAAUGUUUGUGAAAAUGCUAACACACGUGCACUUGUUGGUUUACACGUUGUGGUGUUGGCACACUUUGAGAAGGAGGUGGAGUUUGAAGAGUAGAGAGAGGAUGGGUUCGGAUUCGGCGCUUUUCGAGAAAAUGAAGUGCAUAUUUUCUAUUGCGCCGGUGGGAAAUUUGGAGAAGUCGUGGGAGUGUUUCUCGCUGAGGAACACUCACCGGACGCUGGCUCAGAGGCACCGGACGCUGUGUCUGAGCGUCCGGUGUGCAGGCUGCCUGACUCGGUUAGGGUUAGGCACCGGACGAUAGGCACCGGACGCAGCUUGGAGCGUCCGGUGGUGCGCGUCCGGUGUGCGGGCGUUUUGCGACCCUCUCUGCACAUGGGUCCGGUGAGCACCGGACGCUAAGGGUGCGUCCGGUGGCUUGCGUCCGGUGACCCUGCGAGUUUGCGGAGCUAUCUGCGCAUGAGUCCGGUGAGCACCGGACGGUCCGGUGCUAACUUGCUCAGCGUCUGGUGCUCUGCAGGUGACCGUUAGACUCUGACACGAGCGUUUCAAAAGGUGACACGUGGCUGACGUUGGAGCACCGGACGCUGGUGCUGAGCGUCCGGUGCCCCUUUAAGAGCGUCCGGUGACCCCGUGUUUUGCCCAGUGAAAGAGCCAACGGCUCUAUUUGUUUGAUGGGCUAUAUAUACGUGUUUGUCCGGCUUGGGGCUCACUCUCUUGGCAUUCUAACAUACUUGACAUCCUUGUGAGCCUAAGCAAACUCCUCCCACUCAUCUCCUUCAUAGAUUAUACAUCUUUGUGAGAUUGGGAGUGAUUCCAAGUGCAUUUGCUUGAGUGAUUGCAUCUAGUGGCACUUGGGGAUCGUUCUAGCUGCAGUUUUCUUGUUACUCUUGGUGGUUGCCGCCACCUAGACGGCUUGGAGCAGCGGAGGAGGAUUGGCACGAGUUGGUGAUUGUUCGUGGCCAUCUCCCGGUGAUUGUGAGGGGUCUUGUACCUUCCCCGGCGGAGAGCCGAAAGGUAACUCUAGUAAAGUGCUCGUGUCAUUGAGUUACCUCACUUGUAGGUAGGUUCUUGUGGUGUUCUAGUGAGGACGAGGUUCGUGCAACACCUCUUAGCCACCGAACCACCAAGUGUUGGUCGACACAACGGGGACGUAGCGUGCCGGCAAGCACGUGAACCUCGGGAGAAAAAUUGUGUGUCUCCAUUGUGAUUGUUCAUUGGAUUUCUCUCGGUGAUUGGACUUCAUAUUAUUGAUUGGUUCAUCCCCUCUACGCGGCGGUAUAAAAAUCAAACUAUCUCUUUUUACAUUCCAGCAAACUAGAGUAGCUUACCUACUUGCAUAGAAACUUUUAGGUAGCUUUCUAGUGUAAGUAGUGACAUAGCUCUUGUGUGCCUAGUGAUUAUAUCAACUAGAAUUGUUGGAUAGGUGGCUUGCAAACACCCCAUUAGAGCUAGAGCAAAAAGCUUCGCUUUGUUAUUAACUAACCUCUUGCUCUAGUGAGUUUGUAGAAUUUUUAAAUAGGCUAUUCACCCCCCCUCUAGCCAUAUUAGGACCUUUCAUCAUGCGCCGCCUGGGGCUUGUUCCGCGUGGCGGCAACAACCUCCGUGUCACUGUCGCGAACGAGGAGCGUUUUCCAUGCAAGGGGAUCGCCUGAGAUGUGCCCGUCCUCAUCGGCGGCGAGUCCUUCCCCGUCACGUGUGUGGGGCUCGCCCUCGGCUGCUUCAACUUCAUCAUCGGCGUGGACUUCCUAGGGGCUUUGGGACCUCUUCUGUGUGACUUCGAGGCCCUCACCGUCUCCUUCUAGCGAGGCGACCAGCGCGUCACGUGGCAGUGCAUGGGUCCCCCAGGUGCUUCUUCACACCAACCGCGCCUGGCGGCGGCCACGGCCGACCAGCAGCGGCCACUGUUGGACUAUACAGCAGCACGUGGCCAUCUUCGACGAGCCUCGUGGUCUCCCGCUCGUGCGCUCCUACGACCACCGCAUCUACCUCCUACCGGGGACCGCGCCGGUGGCGGUGCGGCUCUCUCGAUACCCGCAGCUCUAGAAGGACAAGCUGGAGCGGCAAUGCGCCGCCAUGUUGGAGGAGGGCAUUAUUCGUCCGAGAACGUCACCAUUCUCCACCCCCAUGCUGCUCGUCAAGAAGUCCGAUAGGUCGUGGCGCUUCUGCAUCGACUACCGCGCGCUCAACGACAGGACGUCCAAGGACAAAUUCCUGAUCCUGGUGGUCGACAAGCUCCGCGGGGCACGUUUCUUCACCAAGCUCGACCUCCGCUCGGGCUAUCACCAAGUGCGCAUGCACCCGGCGGACAUCGAGAAGACCGCUUUCCACACCCACCACGGCCACUUCGAGUUCUUGGUGAUGCCGUUUGGGCCCCCAACGCCCCGGCAACGUUCCAAGCCCUGAUGAACGAAGUCCUCCGGCCUUUUCUUCGCAGGUUCGUGCUGGUAUUCUUCGAUGACAUCUUGAUCUACAGCUCAUCGUGGUCCGAGCACCUCCAGCACGUCGUCCUCGUCUUCUCCGCUCUGAGGGCUCACGGCCUCUACCUCAAGAGGUCCAAGUGCUCCUUUGGGGCACUCUCCGUUGACUACCUUAGGCAUGUCAUCUCUACUGACGACGUCGCUAUGGACAACGACAAGGUGGUUGUGGUCGCCGCGUUCACCUCGGGGCGUCUGUGGUUUUCUCGGCCUUGCAGGCUACUACCGCAAGUUCAUCCGUGACUUUGGCUCCAUCGCAGCACCACUCACUCGUCUCCUGCGCAAGGAGGCGUUUGCUUGGACGUCGGAAGCGGCAGCGGCCUUCGACACCAUCAAGAGGGCCUUGUCAUCAGCCCCUGUUUUGCAGAUGCCGGAUUUCACUCGCGAGUUCGUCGUCGACUGCGGCGCCUCAGGCACAGGCUUUGGCGCUGUUCUCCACCAGGGGUCGGGUCCCCUGGCGUUCUUCAGCAGACCCUUCGUCGCCCGCCACGUCAAGCUCGCGGCCUACGAGCGUGAGCUCAUCGAGCUAGUGCAGGCGGUCCGGCAUUGGCGGUCGUACCUAUGGGGACGCCGUUUCCUCGUCCGCACCGACCACUACAGCUUGAAGUUUCUGCUCGACCAGCGCCUUUCCAUUGUUCCGCAACACCAGUGGGUUAGCAAGCUGCUCGGGUUUGACUUCGCGGUGGAAUACCGCCCCGGCCGACUCAACUCGGUGGCGGAUGCGCUGUCCCGACGCGACGAGGAUGCAGUUGUAGCGCUCGCCUUGUCCAGGCUGUCCUUCGCCCUCUACGAUGACAUUCAGGCAGCCACUCAGGUGGACCCGGUGGCACGCGGCCUCCUGCAGCAGCAGGCCGCUGGGACGCUGGUGGCGUCCUGGACCAUCACGGAUGGCUUUCUCCUUCAUGGGAAACGCGUCUACGUUCCUGACCUGCAGGACUUGCGCCAUCAGGUGGUGACCCUGGCACACACUACAGGGCAUGAUGGUGUCCAGAAGACCCUUGUGCGUCUGCGCAGUGAUUUCUACAUCCCCGGUGACCGCAAGCUUGUGCAAGACUAUGUCCGCACGUGUGGUGUGUGCCAGCGCAACAAGACGCCCACGACACAGUUGGCCGGUUUACUACAGCCCCUGGAUGUGCCUUCCCAAGUUUGGGCCGACAUCUCCAUGGAUUUCAUCGACGCCCUUCCCAAGGUCCAUGGCAAGUCGGUCAUCUUGACGGUGGUGGAUCGCUUCUCCAAGUACGCGCACUUCAUCGCUCUCAGCCACCCCUACACGGCCGCGUCAGUGGCCCGUGCUUUCUUCGAGGGGAUUGUGCGGCUUCAUGGCUUUCCCACCUCCAUUGUCAGCGACCGCGAUCCGGUUUUCACCAGCCACUUGUGGAGGGAUUUGUUUCGCCUUACAAGUGUGAAACAGCGGCUCAGCACGGCCUUUCACCCUCAGAUGGACGGCCAGUCUGAGGUUGUCAACAAGGUGAUCGCCAUGUACUUGCGUUGUGCGACCGACGACCGGCCGCGCUCAUGGGUCGACUGGCUACCGUGGGCAGAAUACUGCUACAACACGUCGUACCACAUGGCACUUUGCGUGACUCCAUUCGAGAUUGUCUACGGCCGCCCACCACCUCUCCUUUUGCCCCACCAAGAGGGGGCGGCUGAGACGGAGGAUGCAGACGUCAUGCUCCGGGACCGCGACGCAUUCCUGGUCGAGGUCCGGGAGCGCCUCCUCCAGGCACAGCAACACGCCAAGGAGCGCUACGACGAGCACCAUCGGGAUGUGGACUUUGCUGUGGGCGAUUGGGUGCUGCUCCAACUUCUUCACGCCCCACACACACACGCUCGCGACGCCGGCCAAGGGCAAGCUUCGUCCUCGCUAUGUUGGUCCGUUCCGUGUGCUAGAACGCAUUGGGUCGGUGGCCUAUCGUCUACAGCUGCCCGAGACUACACGCCUCCAUGAUGUUUUCCACAUCGGGCUGCUCAAGCACUGGAGUGGUGACCCUCCUGUGACGCCGGCGGUGGUGCCACCAGGCUUCGAGGGGCGCCUGCUUCCUACCCCGGAGAAGGUUGUGCGCGCGCAGCUACGCCGUGGACAGUGGCAGCUGUUGGUCAAAUGGCGCGGCCUUCCGGAUGAUGCUGCGACAUGGGAAGCUCUCGACGACUUCAAAGCCCUAUACCCCGAUGUCCAGCUCAAGGACGAGCUGUUUGUCGACGCGAGGAGAGAUGUUAUGACCGGCGUCUAGUAUCAAAGGAGGCGCCGGCCCAUUAGUGGCUAAAGCUACCAUCGGCCAGGGGUUUAGGCACAGGAGUUAGAGGCUAACAGCCCAUAUUUAUCUUUAUUUGUUUAUUUCCAUAAUUUAAGUAAUUAUUCAUAUAUAGGAGUUGUAAUUCUUGUGGACAGAAUUAAGCAAGAGUAAAUCUUAUUACUCGGCUUCCCUUGGGAGCCGGAAGUUUGCCCUAGCCGUCGCCUCCGUUCUCUUCUUCCUCGCACGACCACGGCGCCCCGCCGCCGUGCCACGCACCCAGCCCCCCAACACACAUACAACCUUCGCUCGACCAAGGGAAGGGUACAGGUCCGUAUCAGAUUCUUUGCUUGCAAUUCCUAAAUGUGGAUCGUGAUUUACUUGACAUUCCAAAAACACGUGUCAUGACUUAUGAAUACUGCAGAUCUCUAGUUGUAGUCUCAGUCUAGUGUACUGUCAUCUCAGGAAUUCUGUGUUACUGGAAACGUUGAACUAAACCCCUGCACCUCUUUUCCAUCUUGCGUCAUGCAUGCUUGUGUAUCCCUGAAAAAUCUUUGAGCAACUUCAGGUCUACACAUCAAACUGAUACACUUUCACAAUAUGUAUGCAGCUGAAGAAAUGUGCAGGGAGGGCGCAUACUGGGGUAACUAAUUGACCGAUUUGUGCCUUUUUGUCGCUUCAAACCCACAUAAUUUGUUUUGGCUUCUUUCCCUUCUUCAUUUAUACUCUGACUAAUGUACAAUAGUAUAAAUGUGUGAUAUUAUUGUACUGUCGUGUAAGAUGCUAUUAGUCAUAUUAUUGUAAGGCAAGCACUUCAAAGUUUUGUGGAGCUACUUCUCAUAUGCAAUGAGGUGGUUGUAUGGGGCAACAGAGAAAGUUACAUAGAAAAUGACAAACCCUUUCACGACACAUAGUCAUACCAUAUUUAUUUUACUUUGAGCCAAUGGUGAAUUCAUGAAUCUCGAGAUAUGUCGGCUCAGUACUUCAAAGGUGCUCUUAGGGGUAGGGUUUGUGUAAAUUUGCUCAUAGGGAUGAGUAUGCGUACGUAUUGUGAGCAUCUGUGUUGUAGUGUGUAAUUCUAAAAAAAAGGACUGAGCUAGUGAAAAUGAUCUUUACCUCCAUGGAUCUUAUUUCUGGGUUCCCCCUGUUUUUACUGUAACUUUUACAUGUUGCUCUGGACACAUCCAAAGUGAUUGCGUUACUCUUGGAUGCAUAUUCAGGCUUGACACCAACACAGUGAUCCAUCACUUACUAUGGGCCGUAGUCAGGGACCAAGUAGACCUGUUAAACAUGUUUACAUAGCAAUGAUAGUGUUUUUGAAAUUUUCUAGUUUUUUUUUAAAUCUAUUUUUCUAGAGCUAAAUUUAUUUUUUGAAGCGGAGAUCUAAGUAUAUUAUGUAGAUUUUUCUAUACUAUUCUGUCUCUAUAAUCUUUUUUAAGAAUUAAAUGCUUAGAGACAUCUUCUGUGGUACCAAUUUUUUAACUAAAAAGGAUAAACCCAAUUUUAUCUCUCUGACGCCAUGUUAACUAUUGCUGUCCAAAACCAUCCAUAGUGGAAACAAACAAUUUUAAAAGUUAAGGAGACCUAAAAAUCUGAUCUUAAAAAAAAAUAUAAAGCAAAAACUCACUAGCCUAUUUUUCUUAUUCCACAGCCCUCCACAUCAUCGUUCCCUCCUCAGUUAUUGUCCGUUCGAUUUCAUCAGCUAGUGUCUACCGUGCAUACCAAACAGGCAACAUCAAUAUACUACUCCUACGUUCACAGUAGAGUUUAGGUGCUUCUUCUAUGAACUGCCCCAUCCGUUCCAAGAUGACAGAAGCCAAUGAUCAAGACUCAAGAGGCGGAUCCUUUUCUGCACAAUUCUACAGCAGCUGGCAGCCAGGCAUAAUCACAAACUUUUGUCAUCCAGUUUCAAAGCUUCCUCUCAAUUCUUGCUGAAUCCCAUCCUAUACAAUUUUGUUAAUUUUUAAGUAAAACGAAUUAUUUUUAAUUUUUUACUUGCUAUUUAUCCAGUGUUUCUUUUAGUUUUUGCUGACAUGAACCUCUGACAUACAUCAUAUACAUUGUAUAGUAACUAAAUAGUAUUUUUUUUUUCUCUCAGGCUCUUUAUCCUGUUUGAUGAGAAACAUCAUCUCGAUUUCUACUUGCUCUCAACUGUUGGUGUCCCACAUCCCUAUAUGAGUUUUUUUUGUAGAAUGUAUGGGUCGAUCCCGUUGCAGUUGCGUGAUGUACGUACACAUGCUAUUGUGCAAAUUAUAAAUAAUGUCUUUCGCACUUCCUACCCUAAUGCAUUUGUCGUUCACAAAAUAUCAUUUCUUAAACUCCUGCAGCAACCCGUAAGGUAUUCAUCUAGUUCUAUAAAAAAAGGGAUCGUACAAUCUUUGUCAAAAUUAAAAUAUACAUGCAAACCACAUGUGCCACUUCAUAAAACAACUACGACAUCAAAGACAUCAAAUAUAUUUAACUCUAUACGCAUGUGCGUUUGAUAUUUCAGUUCCCUAGCUACCGGCGCCAUUUUAGCGGGCCACCUUGCUAGUUACAUAUGAAUGUAGGUUGAUGGACAUGAUAAUAUAACUAAUAAUACAAUGCAUCGGUAAUAGUCUUACAGGCAGCAGAAUGUACCAACGGUUGCAUUUGCCGUAUUCACGCAUAGAUUUCCACACAAGGAAUGUGACUGACAAGGUGCCAGUCGGGCCCUUCCCCUCGCUUGUAACGCUCCGCCAAACCAGGGCAACCACUAAUGACCAAUCUCUCAAGAGCGGUUAGGCGUUGUAUGGAUUGGGGCAAGUAUUGAAGGGCAGGGAAAUGCUGGGUAUAAAGCGAACGAAGCGCAGAGAGUUGUCCAAUCCACUCCGGCAGCACCGUCAGUGCAGGACCUGAUGACAGGUCGAGAUGUUCAAGCGAGGUGAGGUUCCGCAUGCUCUCUGGUAACUGUGUCAGGUCAUUGCACGUGUCAAUAUACAACUCUUUCAGCUCAGUGAGGUGCUGCAGCAGUUCCCAGCCAGAUGAUGAUCCUGUAACUUCGCUUAGCCAUAGACUCUUGAGGCGAGGGACCAACGCAUGCAUGCUGGGCAGCUGAUGGGAGAACCUUCCAGUGGAUAGCAACUGCCCAUUGGUUCUGCCUAAAGUCAUACGCUCCAACGAUGGUGGAAAGUAGGGGCUCACAUUUAAUUUUGGGCAGCCAUAUAUGUGUAGACUGGACAGGACAGGGAAAAGAUGUUGUGCUGCCAAUUCUUUCUCCCCAGUUUCAAAACCACUUGAUGUAGUCCACAGCUCCUCUAAAUUAGGCAUUUCCAACAGCUCAAGGGUCUUCAGUGAAGGCAACUCAACAAAUCCUCUCAUAUGCCUCAAGUUUGGAAAUCUUACUAGCGUUAACAAAGUUAAACAAAGGAAAUGGGAUGCGAUAGUUUGCUUCAGCAUUAUGCCACCUUCACAAUAUGAAGAAUCAUUUUGCUUCAUCAUCCAUCCUGGCAGGCAGGGGCCUCUGUAACCAUAGAUAUCCAACCUCUCAAUUUGCGAUGGUGGUUCAAGAGCGUUCAGCACACCCCAAUCAUGUUCCAUAUCUGACACCAGCUCUUCUUCGGCAUCACUUAAAGACCAGUUCAGCUCCAAGCGUUGCAUGUGACUCUUCCGCUUCAAGCAAGCCUUCUCUGCUUCACUUGGAUCCUUCAAAUACUUAAGGUUGGUAAUUUCCAAGUGACCACCUAUCAUAUCAAGGUUUUCUAGCUCUGAGAUCCUCGCAUCAUCUGCACCACACCCAACAACAAACAAUCCCAGCUUUCUUAAACGGGUCAGCUGUCCCAACCCUGAUGGUAAGCAGCACAGUUUACUACAACGCUCUAUGUUCAAAACUGUGAGCCUUUUCAAGUUUGCUAUGCCCUUAGGCAACUCCCGUAGCUCAUUGCAUCCCUUAAGGUCAAUACAUUCCAGAGUAUCAAUCGAUGUAACCCAUUGAGGUAGCAUGGUAACUUUGGUUUCAGAAAGGUUCAGAGUACGCAAUGUAGGACAGGAUAAUGUGCUUGGCAGGUCUUGCAAACCCGUACAACCAUUAAAGUCAAGUACACAUAGGUUUCCAAUUCUACCUAAAGAGCUUGGUAUCUCUCGUUGUUUUCUGCACUUAUAUAGUUGCAAGCACUGAAGAACAUAACAGUCACCGAUGGACUGAGGCAAACUCUCAAGAUCAGUAAUCCGAUGCAACUCUAGAGUCCUUAGCUUCCGAAGCUUUCCAACAGACUCAGGUAAUGUCACGAAACCUUUGCAGUUAACAAAAUGGAGUGACUGCAAGUUCCAACACCUCGAGAUAGCUUCCGGAACUGUUGUACAACUAACAUUAUGGAUUUCAAGAUACCCAAGAUACUCAAACUUUAAUAUGAAUAGUGAAAACGGAGUAUC